GGAUGUGAGGGCGAUCUGGCUACGACAUCUGUCACCCCACUGAUCUCUAGGGUUGAUUCGGCUGAUCUGGCUGGCUAGGCGGGUGUCCCCUUCCUCCCUCACCACUCCAUGUGCAUCCCUCCCGAAGCUGCGCGCUUGGUUGAAGAGGAGACGGCCUUCCCCGAGUAGAGACGGACCGAUCUUCAGUCGAGGGUGUAUGAGUAGCUGCGCUCUCCUGCUAGAACCUCCAAACAGGCUCUCAAGAAAUAAAAGGAAUAAAAUAUUUGUUUAUUUGUUUUAAAGAUUUGUUUAUUUUUGAUAGAAAC
This is an unclassified non-coding RNA of Erinaceus europaeus (western European hedgehog), 305 nucleotides long. Its record names the gene 7SK. It matches the Rfam family "7SK RNA". Rfam says of the family: 7SK was discovered as an abundant small nuclear RNA in the mid-70s but a possible function has only recently been suggested. Two independent studies have found that 7SK RNA binds the CDK9/cyclin T complex (known as elongation factor P-TEFb). P-TEFb activates transcription by phosphorylating the C-terminal domain of RNA polymerase II. NCBI's taxonomy places the organism in Eukaryota, Metazoa, Chordata, Mammalia, Eulipotyphla, Erinaceidae. The record is from Ensembl.